CUGACAUGCGUAUUAUCUCACAAUUUAUUAUGGCAAAAUAUGUAUGCUUGGAAAACAAGCAGUAUUUUCAGUCAAACAGAAUUUUCAUAAAACAUAAGAAUUCAUGCGAUUAGCAUCAUUUAAAGGAGAUAGCGGUUUUAGCAAAAUACAACAUUUCAUAAGGAUAUAUUCAAAAAAUCCGUUGUAAAACAAUGUAUGCUUUGGCCAGGCACGUUCAUAAAUGUCACGGCCCGCCAGCACAGGGCAUGUGACUAUCGGGCCCACAUGAGGGGGAAACACGGGGCUCCCCUGCCAGAUGUUGGCCGGUUCCGGGGCUUCACGCAAGCGUCCUUCACCCCUCACCGAUUUUGCUUCUCCCCAAAAACGCAUCCGCAGGAUUUGGAAGCACCCGCCUCAUAUACCCAGGCUCUGAAACGAGCCUCAUGAUCAUGCUUCAAAUAUCAUUUUCAUAAAGUAUGCAUAUGAAACCGUGCCCCCGGCAUGUCGUGGUCCAUUCUCUCGGAUGCUACUGCGAAGUCCAUUCGGCCACUGGCGGGGCCAGCUAGUCCUUCUCGGCCACUAGCAAGGCCAGCUCAGUUGCAUUCGAUCAGUAGCAUCUUUGAGCCCAUUAUAAUAGUGCCUCUUGGCUAGCUA
This 633-nucleotide long non-coding RNA is filed under the name Phoenix dactylifera (date palm). RNAcentral describes it as "long non-coding RNA (PDAC_LNC017570)". Lineage: Eukaryota; Viridiplantae; Streptophyta; Magnoliopsida; Arecales; Arecaceae. The record is from RNAcentral.